Molecule: small nucleolar RNA, 104 nt
Organism: Molossus molossus (Pallas's mastiff bat)
Lineage: Eukaryota; Metazoa; Chordata; Mammalia; Chiroptera; Molossidae
Product: small nucleolar RNA U13
Exons: 1
Source: RefSeq, a predicted model, not a curated record
CUCCUUCUGUCGUUCCUAAGCGUGAUGAUUGGGUGUUCACCCGCUUGUGUGCGAUGUACCUCUCUGAGAGCCUGGUACCAGGUCGGCCCAUCACCCGUCUGGCG